Non-coding RNA from Gossypium raimondii (Peruvian cotton), 87 nucleotides. The record is from Rfam. NCBI's taxonomy places the organism in Eukaryota, Viridiplantae, Streptophyta, Magnoliopsida, Malvales, Malvaceae.
CAUGUUAGCGCGAUGUGCUGACUCAGUAGGAAAUCGCGUCCUAGGGAGCGCGAUUUCCUACUGAGUCAGCACAUCGCGUUGACGUGG